UUGUAAUUUGUGAGGCAUCUCCGGGUAGGGCGCCGGCCUAAGUUCCUUGGAACAGGACGUCACAGAGGGUGAGAAUCCCGUGCUUGGCUGGCUGUCCCCGUCCAUGUGAGGUGUCUUCGACGAGUCGAGUUGUUUGGGAAUGCAGCUCAAAAUGGGUGGUAAAUUUCAUCUAAAGCUAAAUAUUGGUGGGAGACCGAUAGCGCACAAGUAGAGUGAUCGAAAGAUGAAAAGCACUUUGAAAAUAGAGUUAAAAAGUACGUGAAAUUGUUGAAAGGGAAGCGCUUGAGACCAGACUUCGGUAAGGGGUGAUCAGCCGUCCUUCUGGGCGGUGCACUUGCCCCCCUCCGGGCCAGCAUCGGUUGAGGCGGCGGGAUAAAGGUCUCGGGAAUGUGGCUCCUUCACGGGAGUGUUAUAGCCCGGGUGAAUGCCGCCAGCUUCGACCGAGGACCGCACCCGCAAGGGUUAGGAUGCUUGGCAUAAUGGUCUUCAGCGACCCGUCUUGAAACACGGACCAAGGAGUCUAACAUCUAUGCGAGUGUUUGGGUGUCAAACCCUUGCGCGAAAUGAAAGUGAACGGAGGUGGGAACCCGCAAGGGCGCACCAUCGACCGGUCCCGAAGUCUUCUGAAGGAUCUGAGUAGGAGCAUAGCUGUUGGGACCCGAAAGAUGGUGAACUAUGCCUGAAUAGGGUGAAGCCAGAGGAAACUCUGGUGGAGGCUCGCAGCGGUUCUGACGUGCAAAUCGAUCGUCAAAUUUGGGUAUAGGGGCGAAAGAC
RNAcentral lists this ribosomal RNA (774 nucleotides) under Tuber taiyuanense. RNAcentral's name for it is "eukaryotic LSU rRNA". It matches the Rfam family "Eukaryotic large subunit ribosomal RNA", at positions 144 to 931 of the family's 3401-position model. The record is from RNAcentral. Lineage: Eukaryota; Fungi; Ascomycota; Pezizomycetes; Pezizales; Tuberaceae.